UACGGAGGGUGCAAGCGUUAUCCGGAUUUACUGGGUUUAAAGGGUGUGUAGGCGGGCUAUUAAGUCAGUGGUGAAAUCUCCGGGCUCAACCCGGAAACUGCCAUUGAUACUAUUAGUCUUGAAUUUUGUUGAGGUAGGCGGAAUAAGUCAUGUAGCGGUGAAAUGCAUAGAUAUGACUUAGAACACCAAUUGCGAAGGCAGCUUACUAAGCAAAUAUUGACGCUGAGGCACGAAAGCGUGGGGAGCAAACAGG
RNAcentral lists this ribosomal RNA (253 nucleotides) under uncultured bacterium. RNAcentral's name for it is "partial 16S ribosomal RNA". It matches the Rfam family "Bacterial small subunit ribosomal RNA", at positions 524 to 776 of the family's 1533-position model. The record is from RNAcentral.